AUACGGAGGAUCCGAGCGUUAUCCGGAUUUAUUGGGUUUAAAGGGUGCGCAGGCGGCCAUUUAAGUCAGCGGUUAAAUCGUGGGGCUCAACCCCAUUCUGCCGUUGAUACUGGGUGGCUUGAUUGCGGUCGAGGUUGGCGGAAUUCGUUGUGUAGCGGUGAAAUGCAUAGAUAUGACGAAGAACACCGAUUGCGUAGGCAGCUGACCAGACCGCAAAUGACGCUCGUGCACGAAAGUGCGGGGAUCGAACAGGAUUAGAUACCCUGGUAGUCCGCACAGUAAACGAUGAAUACUUGUUUUCGGCGAUAUAAUGUCGGAGGCAAAGCGAAAGCGAUAAGUAUUCCACCUGGGGAGUACGCCGGCAACGGUGAAACUCAAAGGAAUUGACGGGG
RNAcentral lists this ribosomal RNA (392 nucleotides) under uncultured bacterium. Its description in RNAcentral is "partial 16S ribosomal RNA". It matches the Rfam family "Bacterial small subunit ribosomal RNA", at positions 523 to 918 of the family's 1533-position model. The record is from RNAcentral.